UCCGUAGGUGGCAAGCGUUGUCCGGAAUUAUUGGGCGUAAAGCGCGCGCAGGCGGUCCUUUAAGUCUGAUGUGAAAGCCCGCGGCUCAACCGUGGAGGGUCAUUGGAAACUGGGGGACUUGAGUGCAGAAGAGGAAAGCGGAAUUCCACGUGUAGCGGUGAAAUGCGUAGAGAUGUGGAGGAACACCAGUGGCGAAGGCGGCUUUCUGGUCUGUAACUGACGCUGAGGCGCGAAAGCGUGGGGAGCAAACAGG
Molecule: ribosomal RNA, 253 nt
Filed under: uncultured bacterium
Lineage: Bacteria
Description: partial 16S ribosomal RNA
Rfam family: Bacterial small subunit ribosomal RNA
Source: RNAcentral